RNAcentral lists this small RNA (28 nucleotides) under Bombyx mori (domestic silkworm). Its description in RNAcentral is "ovarian small RNA-37408". Lineage: Eukaryota; Metazoa; Arthropoda; Insecta; Lepidoptera; Bombycidae. The record is from RNAcentral.
UUCGCCUCAGUAGCACAUGUUCGUGCAC